Culex pipiens pallens (northern house mosquito) is the source of this 1441-nucleotide long non-coding RNA. RefSeq lists it as uncharacterized. Lineage: Eukaryota; Metazoa; Arthropoda; Insecta; Diptera; Culicidae. The transcript has 3 exons. The record is from RefSeq and is a predicted model, not a curated record.
CGACGGCUAUCGAGACUCGGGAGGAACCGAGAAAACAAGCCACUGGUGAUCGCUGCCGGAGGUUCCGAUGGAUGUGCGUGGAUUUACGUCCCGUUUGUCAAGUUCGCGAAGAAAGAAGCCGUUCCGUUUGAGGUUAUCCGGCGUAAGUUUUAAGUCGCGAUGUUGGGUUUCAAUUCGCUGUGGUGAUGGGGAAAAAACAGGAAAACUGGGUGUUUUUGAGAAGUUGGACUUUCGGCCGGUUUUACUGCGAAGUUCCAGACUGUUGUGACCAAUAAAUUCCGGGGUCGACUUCGGGGUUUCGAUAGACCACUCGGAGGAUGCCAGCAGACUGGUUGUGUUGAACGCUAUCAGUAAAGUUUGACGAAAACAUCUUGGAUACUGUGAUUCCCUUCCUGGUGAACAAAGUCAAGACAACGCCGUACAACAAGACCCAAAUUCGCCACCACCAAGAAAUUUUUUGAACAGUUCGCCCAACAUCAGCAAUCAAAGCUUGCAUAAGCCACAAGGCCAACAUUGUGGUCCCGUUCGACCGGAAGCCGGAACGGACGGAGUGGCAUACGAGCACGACUUUGGAACGGGACUGGAGCUGGUGACGGAGUUGUACUACCACGGAACGGAAAACCUGCACGACAUGAUGAAGCCGCUGUUUUUAACGGCGGAUUCGCAGCUGAAACGGCUGCAGUUAGCAUUUAAUAUGAAGGUUCCACAUGAGUUCUGCUUCAAUCUGGAGAAGCGUGAUGAUGAGGCCAUCGGUGCAACAGAUUUUGAUUACUUCCUUGUGCGACAACAGCUGCUUCUUAGCCGGUCCUCAUUGGCAGAUCUUCACGGAUGUUCAAACCAGAGAUUGUUUUUUGUUAAAUAGGAUCAGCAAUCAACGUUUGCUUCCUGCUUCUCCUGGGAGGCGACUGAAAUAGCUGUGGAAUAUGAGACAACGCAGGUACGUCCGUCUCAGCUGGUUUCAACGAUCAGGGACCACACUUCUAUGCAGGCGUGCCCGACGCUUGAGGUGAACCGCCAGUGGACGAUAACCAGCCACAACCACCAGUCGUCGCAAUCGAGUUCUAAGCGUCGAAGAUGAACUUCGUCAACAGCUUUUCGACGUACUGGUAAGUCAGCAGCAGAAUAGUUUAAAUCUUGCAAAGUUGUUUAACGUUAGCAGGUGUUUCAGAUCGCGACCAGCGGAAUCAAGACCGGUCGAAGGUAAUGCUCUGGUUUAAUGAUGAUAUUUCAAAACAAUUUUUGCACAAUGAACUGUUUCAUUGUUAAAUUAAACAGAAUUCAAAUUAUAAGAGCAAUAGCUUUAUAAAUUACAAAUUGCUCCGUUGAAUCUAGAAAUCCUAAAUAACAUCGGAUUCUAGAUUCAACGGAGCAAAAAAAAAUUUUUUCUUUGGUAAAUUUACAUUAUUUUCAUUGGAAAAUUACACGAUUUUACAAGAUUUUG